RNAcentral lists this small nuclear RNA (84 nucleotides) under Homo sapiens (human). Its description in RNAcentral is "partial ncRNA". Lineage: Eukaryota; Metazoa; Chordata; Mammalia; Primates; Hominidae. The record is from RNAcentral.
AGAGAAUUGCUUGAACCCGGGAGGUGGAGGCCGAGGUGACCAGAGAUCAUGCCACUGCAUUGCACUCCAACCUGGGUGACAGAG